Molecule: microRNA, 22 nt
Filed under: Gallus gallus (chicken)
Lineage: Eukaryota; Metazoa; Chordata; Aves; Galliformes; Phasianidae
Description: microRNA Ros-gga
Source: RNAcentral
CCGGCUGGGAGCCACGAUUUUA